Molecule: unclassified non-coding RNA, 24 nt
Filed under: Mus musculus (house mouse)
Lineage: Eukaryota; Metazoa; Chordata; Mammalia; Rodentia; Muridae
Description: oocyte_clustered_small_RNA11509
Source: RNAcentral
AACUGUGGAGGGCCCCACCAGCAU